GAUGUUAUAGCUCAGCGGUAGAGUGCUCACCUAACACGUGUGAGGCCCUGGGUUCGAUCCUCGGCACCACA
Molecule: transfer RNA, 71 nt
Filed under: Marmota monax (woodchuck)
Lineage: Eukaryota; Metazoa; Chordata; Mammalia; Rodentia; Sciuridae
Description: tRNA.Val
Rfam family: tRNA (bases 8-64)
About the family: Transfer RNA (tRNA) molecules are approximately 80 nucleotides in length. Their secondary structure includes four short double-helical elements and three loops (D, anti-codon, and T loops).
Source: RNAcentral